RNAcentral lists this long non-coding RNA (368 nucleotides) under Panax ginseng (ginseng). RNAcentral describes it as "long non-coding RNA (PGIN_LNC007455)". The record is from RNAcentral. Lineage: Eukaryota; Viridiplantae; Streptophyta; Magnoliopsida; Apiales; Araliaceae.
UCGCUUAGUUUUAAGGUAUAGAGGCAACUUUUUUGUAUUCUUUUGUUGAUUUUUAGGUUGUAGGAGUGAGUGAUAUUACCACUCCCUAGGUAAGAAAUGAGAUACCCAUUCUUUAUGAAAUCCUAUUCAUGGUGGAUUAAAAUUUCCAUCAAACAAUUACACAUACGAAAUGAUGGAAUUCUAUAAUCUAGAAAUGAAAUUCUCAUUCCCACUCCCCAUUCCUGCCAUUAAUGUGGCCUUAGAGAGUAGAAGCAGGCAUUACUUGGCUGUGGAGGUAACCAUGUAAUUGUCCAGAAUUUAGAAUUCACUCCUUUUUUUCACUUGCUCAUCUUGUUACAGCCUGCCAAGGAAGUACCUCCACGUUUGAU